Astatotilapia calliptera (eastern happy) is the source of this 840-nucleotide long non-coding RNA. Lineage: Eukaryota; Metazoa; Chordata; Actinopteri; Cichliformes; Cichlidae. The record is from Ensembl.
UUUAUUGUCAUCCACAGCUGAUGAACUGACAAUACGCAAAAGGACAGUUAGCUUAAAUUGUUUGACAUGAUUGCUGUGGUCUCUAUAUUUUGUUUUCUUCACUUGCCAGAAAUGACAGGGGCAUCUGACACAAAACGUGCCAACCAAACACCUCCAUCCAUCAUUAAGAGAAUUGGUGAAUCUGUUGAAAGUGAAAUCAAAUGUUCACACAGCAUACCAGGUUAUCAGGUCAUUCUCUGGUACAAGCAAGAUGAAAAAGGAGUCCUACAAUUUCUGGGAUACCUAAAUCUGGAAUUUCCAAACAUUGAGGAUGAUGUCAAAGGGAAAAUCAGCUUUGAUGGAGAUGGCCAAAAAUAUUCAAACCUGGCCAUUUCUAAUGUUUCAGUGACUGACAGUGCCGUGUAUUUCUGUGCUGCUAGUAAGCACAGUACUACAGAUUCCACUGAAGUCAUGCCAAACAGAACGUGGACAUCUUCAUCAUGAGCAAACGACGUCGCCUCAUAUUUUUAUUCUUAUUGCUGUGGGUAUCAGGUCUAACUGAUGGGGGGGAAGUCAAGCAGACCUCCAUACUCUGGAAAAACCAGGGUGAUAAUGUAUCUAUAGAAUGCAGUCAUACCUAUGGCAGUGGCUAUUUCCAAAUGUACUGGUACAGACAGCUGCCUGGAGAACUAAUGAAACAAAUGGUUUUUACUACUCCAAACUCCCAACCUGACUUUGAACCAGACUUCAGGGAUGAAAAAUUCUCAACCAUCAAGCGUGAUGCUCACAGUGGGACACUGAUAGUGAAGAAUUUGGUGCCAGGAGAUCAAGGCUUGUAUUUCUGUGCUGUCAGUGAGCACA